RNAcentral lists this ribosomal RNA (253 nucleotides) under uncultured bacterium. RNAcentral's name for it is "partial 16S ribosomal RNA". It matches the Rfam family "Bacterial small subunit ribosomal RNA", at positions 524 to 776 of the family's 1533-position model. The record is from RNAcentral.
UACGAAGGGGGCUAGCGUUGUUCGGAAUUACUGGGCGUAAAGGGCGCGUAGGCGGCCUAACAAGUCUCGUGUGAAAUCCCUCGGCUUAACUGAGGAACUGCACGGGAAACUGCUUGGCUUGAGUUCGGGAGAGGGAAGCGGAAUUCCGGGUGUAGCGGUGAAAUGCGCAGAUAUCCGGAGGAACACCAGUGGCGAAGGCGGCUUCCUGGACCGACACUGACGCUGAGGCACGAAAGCGUGGGUAGCAAACACG